UACAGAGACCUCAAACGUUGUCCGGAUUUACUGGGCGUAAAGGGUCCGUAGGCGGUCUGAUGCGUCAGUGGUCAAAUCUCGGAGCUUAACUCCGGGACUGCCGCUGAUACGGUCAGACUCGUGCAUGGGAGAGGUAAGCGGAAUUGCCGGUGUAGUAGUAAAAUGCGUUAAUAUCGGCAAGAACACCAAAUGCGAAGGCAGCUUACUGGAACAUUGCAGACGCUAAGGGACGAAAGCGUGGGGAGCGAAA
Molecule: ribosomal RNA, 250 nt
Filed under: uncultured bacterium
Lineage: Bacteria
Description: partial 16S ribosomal RNA
Rfam family: Bacterial small subunit ribosomal RNA
Source: RNAcentral